This 301-nucleotide ribosomal RNA is filed under the name uncultured bacterium. RNAcentral's name for it is "partial 16S ribosomal RNA". It matches the Rfam family "Bacterial small subunit ribosomal RNA", at positions 509 to 808 of the family's 1533-position model. The record is from RNAcentral.
CAGCCGCCGCGGUAAUACGUAGGGUGCAAGCGUUAAUCGGAGUUACUGGGCGUAAAGCGUGCGCAGGCGGUUUGUUGAGACAGAUGUGAAAUCCCCGGGCUUAACCUGGGAACUGCAUUUGUGACUGGCAAGCUAGAGUAUGGCAGAGGGGGGGUGGAAUUCCGCGUGUAGCAGUGAAAUGCGUAGAUAUGCGGAGGAACACCGAUGGCGAAGGCAGCCCCCUGGGCCAAUACUGACGCUCAUGCACGAAAGCGUGGGGAGCAAACAGGAUUAGAUACCCGCGUAGUCCCUGUCUCUUAUA